CUCGUAGACUCCUACGGGAGCAGCAGUGGGGAAUAUUGCACAAUGGGCGCAAGCCUGUAUGCAGCCAUGCCGGCGUGUAUGAAGAAGGCCUUCGGGUUGUUAAAGUACUUUCAGCAGUGAGGAAGGUGGGUAUGUUAAUAGCAUAUUCAUUUGACGUUAGCUGCAGAAGAAGCACCGGCUAACUCCGUGCCAGCAGCCGCGGUAAUACGGAGGGUGCGAGCGUUAAUCGGAAUUACUGGGCGUAAAGCGCAUGGCAGGUGGUUUGUUAAGUCAGAUGUGAAAGCCCGGGGCUCAACCUCGGAAUUGCAUUUGGAAACUGGCAAACUAGAGUACUGUAGAGGGGGGUAGAAUUUCAGGUGUAGCGGUGAAAUGCGUAGAGAUCUGAAGGAAUACCGGUGGCGAAGGCGGCCCCCUGGACAGAUACUGACACUCAGAUGCGAAAGCGUGGGGAGCAAACAGGAUUAGAUACCCUGGUAG
RNAcentral lists this ribosomal RNA (477 nucleotides) under uncultured bacterium. RNAcentral describes it as "bacterial SSU rRNA". It matches the Rfam family "Bacterial small subunit ribosomal RNA", at positions 328 to 793 of the family's 1533-position model. The record is from RNAcentral.